UACGGAGGGUGCGAGCGUUAAUCGGAAUUACUGGGCGUAAAGGGCUCGUAGGCGGUUUGUCACGUCGGGAGUGAAAUCUUACAGCUUAACUGUGAACUUGCUUUCGAUACGGGCAGACUUGAGGCAUUCAGGGGAGAACGGAAUUCCUGGUGUAGCGGUGAAAUGCGCAGAUAUCAGGAGGAACACCGGUGGCGAAGGCGGUUCUCUGGGAAUGUUCUGACGCUGAGGAGCGAAAGUGUGGGGAGCGAACAGGAUUAGAUACCCUGGUAGU
RNAcentral lists this ribosomal RNA (271 nucleotides) under uncultured bacterium. Its description in RNAcentral is "partial 16S ribosomal RNA". It matches the Rfam family "Bacterial small subunit ribosomal RNA", at positions 524 to 794 of the family's 1533-position model. The record is from RNAcentral.